ACACGACUACAUUAGAUACCCCGGUAGUCCCAGCCCUAAACGAUGCGCGUUAGGUGUAUCGGUGACCACGAGUCACCGAGGUGCCGAAGGGAAACCGUGAAACGUGCCGCCUGGGAAGUACGGUCGCAAGGCUGAAACUUAAAGGAAUUGGCGGGGGAGCACAACAACGGGUGGAGCUUGCGGUUUAAUUGGAUUCAACGCCGGAAAUCUUACCGGGACCGACAGCAACAUGAAGGCCAAGCUGAAGACUUUGCCGGAUUAGCUG
This 265-nucleotide ribosomal RNA is filed under the name uncultured archaeon. RNAcentral describes it as "partial 16S ribosomal RNA". It matches the Rfam family "Archaeal small subunit ribosomal RNA", at positions 717 to 982 of the family's 1478-position model. The record is from RNAcentral.